UACGAAGGUCCCAAGCGUUAUCCGGAUUUAUUGGGUUUAAAGGGUGCGUAGGCGGGUUAUUAAGUCAGUGGUGAAAGCCUUCAGCUUAACUGAAGAAUUGCCAUUGAUACUGAUGAUCUUGAGUAUGAUUGAGGUGGGCGGAAUGUGUCAUGUAGCGGUGAAAUGCUUAGAUAUGACACAGAACACCGAUUGCGAAGGCAGCUCACUAAGCCAUAACUGACGCUGAUGCACGAAAGCGUGGGGAGCAAACAGGAUUAGAUACCCUGGUAGUCCACGCCCUAAACGAUGAUCACUCGAUGUGUGCGAUACACUGUACGCGUCUGAGCGAAAGCAUUAAGUGAUCCACCUGGGGAGUACGACCGCAAGGUUGAA
RNAcentral lists this ribosomal RNA (372 nucleotides) under uncultured bacterium. Its description in RNAcentral is "bacterial SSU rRNA". It matches the Rfam family "Bacterial small subunit ribosomal RNA", at positions 524 to 898 of the family's 1533-position model. The record is from RNAcentral.